This 253-nucleotide ribosomal RNA is filed under the name uncultured bacterium. RNAcentral describes it as "partial 16S ribosomal RNA". It matches the Rfam family "Bacterial small subunit ribosomal RNA", at positions 524 to 776 of the family's 1533-position model. The record is from RNAcentral.
UACGUAGGGUGCGGGCGUUGUCCGGAAUUACUGGGCGUAAAGAGCUCGUAGGUGGUUUGUCGCGUUGUUCGUGAAAACUCACAGCUCAACUGUGGGCGUGCGGGCGAUACGGGCAGACUAGAGUACUGCAGGGGAGACUGGAAUUCCUGGUGUAGCGGUGAAAUGCGUAGAUAUCAUGAGGAAGACCAGUGGCGAAGGCGGGUCUCUGGACAGUUCCUGACACUGAGGCACGAAGGCCAGGGGAGCAAACGGG